RNAcentral lists this long non-coding RNA (803 nucleotides) under Dermacentor andersoni. Its description in RNAcentral is "uncharacterized LOC126518013". Lineage: Eukaryota; Metazoa; Arthropoda; Arachnida; Ixodida; Ixodidae. The record is from RNAcentral.
CUCUAUUGGGAGCGGUACGGCGUUAUGUGAUCUUUAUAACGAAGCGACCUGUAUAACGAAUGAAUUGGGAGGUCCGGAGCUUCUUCAUACUGAUGGGUUUGACUGUAUAUAGCUUAAAUGUAUCGGCACGACUUGCUGCUGUUGAUUUGAUACAAUGUCGUUACUCGUCCCAUUAUAAAGAUAAUGAUUCCGUAUUUCUAUGUUGUAGAAGUAAGGCCUAGAUAUGUCGGUUCAUUGCCACAUGUAUUCGUAAUCUCUGUAAAUCUCUUGCAUUGUCCGCUAGAUAGCAUUAUGUCGUCCGUAUAGAUGGAUAAAAUCAGGGACCCAUACCCAUUUUGCCCAUACGAAUGUAAGACAAAUCAAAACCUAAUUCAUGGUUUUCCACUCGUCUUUCUAUCAAUUCCUUAGCAUAAAUGCUUUGAAUUUUUCGAGAACGGUAGGUUUUGGUUAAAUAGGAACGUUUAUAUUUUGGGGCCACUUUUCUGGCCUUCUCUCCACCAAUACUAUGUAGUACUUGGGUAAUAUACCACCCACAUUAUCUAGCCACUAAAGACUAGUUAUGUGACGUAGCCCGCCGUUCUUGAAUAACAGUGAGCUCAAUAGGGUGUUUUUUUUUUCCUUCCCCAGGCGGCUGUAUAAGCGGGGGUAGAUCUGUCCCAAGUCGCUGUCUGUUUCGAGCAGUCAGCUCGGCCGGACCAGGUCGAUUCGUCCAAUUUGAAAAUGGCUCAAAACUACAAGAGAAAGCGCGAAGACGGCAGUAGCAUUGAGAACGAGGUCCCUCUGCGUUACAUUUCGGGAUAAUU